Long non-coding RNA from Ficedula albicollis (Collared flycatcher), 3080 nucleotides. The record is from Ensembl. Lineage: Eukaryota; Metazoa; Chordata; Aves; Passeriformes; Muscicapidae.
GGCAGAAUGAGCAAACUCAUUUUCUCACACAAUUUGAAUUCCUUGGCUUGGGAAUUUUUAUUUCCCCAGAUUCUUGGGAUUUUUUUCCCUUAGAUUCUUGUUUUGGUUUUUUUUUUUUUUGUUUGUUUGUUUUUUCCCAGAUUCUUGGGAUUUUUAUUUUCCCAGGUUCUUGGGAUUUAUUUUUCCCCCCAGAUUCUUGAGGUUUUUUUUUUCCCCAAAUUCUUGGGAUUAUUUUUUCCCAAAAUUCUUGGGAUUAUUUUUUCCCAAAAUUCUUGGAUUUUUAUUUCCCCAGAUUCUUGGAAUUUAUUUUUCCCUCCAGAUUUCUGGAAUUUAUUUUUCCCUCCAGAUUCUUUGGGUUAUAUUUUUCCCCAAAUUUUUGAGAUUUUUUUUCCCAGAUUUUUGGGAUUUUUAUUCCCCCAGAUUCUUGAGUUUAUUUUUUUCCCCGAAUUUUUGAGAUUAUUUUUCCCAGAUUCUUGGGAUUUUUAUUUUCCCAGAUUCUCAGGAUUUUUUUUUUUUCCCAAAUUAUUGGGAACUCCAGCUUUGGGAAAGAAUCAGGGAUGGAAUUCCAGGGUGGAGAAAGUGCUGAACUUUGGAGAUUUUCUGGCAAUUAAAAAACCUGCUGAGAGUGAAAUUCUGAGCACUUUGUGCCCCUUUUUAGACAAAAAUCACCAUUCUUGUUAAUUGAUACUUAAAAUCACGACACAUUGUUAUUUCAGAGUACUUGUGCAAUUUUUUUUUUCCCUUUUUUGGCUUCUUCCCUUUUAUUUGCUGCUAAAAGUUCUGGUGAAAAUUGUCAGUAUUCUCUUUCCUUGCUCUGGUGGCAGAUGAGGAUGAGGAUGGGGAUCGGAUCACGGUCAGGAGUGACGAGGAGAUGAAGGCCAUGCUGUCCUAUUAUUACUCCACUGUGAUGGAGCAGCAAGUGAAUGGACAAUUGAUAGAGCCUCUGCAGAUCUACCCACGAGCCUGCAAACCCCCUGGGAAACGGAACAUCCAUGGCCUCAAGGUGAACACACGGGCGGGGGCCACCACCACCAGCACCACCAGCAGCGGCGGCGGCGGCUCGGCCGCCUCCGAGGGGCUCCCCAGCACCAGGUGAGGCCCUGCUGCCCUUCCUGCCUUCCCUCGGCUGCUGCUGUCUGUGCCCUGGGGGUUCCAGCCCAGCCCCUCCCCGUGCUCCCAGUCAGGGGUUCCUGCCCAGUGUCCCGCUCAACUCACACUUUUGCCGCUCCCCGAGGCCGUUCCCAGUGUCCCGUCCCUGGUCCCAAAUCCCUCCCCAGCUCUCCCGGAGCCCCUUUGGGUCCUGGAAGGGGCUCUGAGCUCUCCCUGGGUCCUUUCCUUCUCCAGGUGAGCGUUCCCAUCCCAUCAAUCCCAUCCCAUUCCCAGUAUCCCAUCCAUUCCCAGUAUCCCAUCCCAUCCCAUUCCCAGUAUCCCAUCCCAUCCCAUUCCCAGUAUCCCAUCCCAUCCCAUUCCCAGUAUCCCAUCCCAUCCCAUUCCCAGUAUCCCAUCCCAUCCCAUUCCCAGUAUCCCAUCCCAUCCCAUUCCCAGUAUCCCAUCCCAUCCCAUUCCCAGUAUCCCAUCCCAUUCCCAGUAUCCCAUCCCAUCCCAUUCCCAGUAUCCCAUCCCAUUCCCAGUAUCCCAUCCCAUCCCAUUCCCAGUAUCCCAUCCCAUUCCCAGUAUCCCAUCCCAUCCCAUUCCCAGUAUCCCAUCCCAUUCCCAGUAUCCCAUCCCAUCCCAUUCCCAGUAUCCCAUCCCAUUCCCAGUAUCCCAUCCCAUCCCAUUCCUUCCCAGUAUCCCACCCAUACCUGCCUUAUCCCAGUUUAAACCAUUCCCAGUGUCCUGUCCCAUAUCCCAAAUCCCUCUCCAGUUCUCCUGGAGUCCCUUUAGGUCCUACAAGGAGCUCUGAGCUCUCCAUGGGUCCUUUCCUUCUCCCGCUGAACAUUCCCAUCCCAUUCCCAGUAUCCCAUCCCGUCCCUUCCCUGUAUCCCAUCCAUCCCUGGCCUAUCCCAGUUUAAACCAUUCCCUGUGUCCUGUCCCUCCAUCCCUUGUCCCAAAUCUCUCUCCAGCUCUCCUGGAGCCCCUUUAGGUCCUGAAAGGGGCUCUGAGGAUUCCCUGAAUCCUUCCCUUUUCCUGGUGAACAUUCCCAGCUGCUCCAGCCCUCCAUCCCACCCAUUCCCAGUAUCCCACCCAUCCCUUUCCUGUCCCAGUUCAAACCAUUCCCAGUGUCCUGUCCCAUAUCCCAAAUCCCUCUCCAGCUCUCCUGGAGCUCCUGUAAGGGGCUCUGAGGAUUCCUGGAUCCUUCCCUUUUCCAGGGGAACAUUCCCAGCCUGGCUCCAGCACAUCCCAUUCCAUCCCAGUCAGGAAUUCCUGCCCAAUAUCCCAUUAAAAUCUCAUUUAAAGCCAUUCCCUGUGUGCUGUCCCUCAUCCCAAAUCCCUGUCUGAGCUCUCCCUGUUCCUCUCCUGGUGCUCACACAAACCCAAGUGGGUGAUCCCAGGAGUUUGGCAAAUCUUGGGAAUCUGCUCCACCUCCAAAUUCUCACUCUUGGUUCAGCUUUGCAAUUUUAUUUUAUUUUUUUUAUUUUUUUUAAACCAAAACAGCCCCCUGAGUGUGGCUCCUGCCAGAAAAUCUGGGGGUUGGGUGGAUUUUCCAGUGGGAAAAGCAGAAAUUCCUGGUUUUUUGUAGGGGGUGGAGCUGCCCACGUGGGGGUUGCUGGAGAAAGGGGGAUUGGUGGGAAUUCCAUAGGAAAAAAAAAAAAAAAAAAGAGGGAUUGGUGGGAAUUCCAGGGAAAAAAAAUGAGGGAUUGGUGGGAAUUCCAUAGAAAAAAAAAUGAGGGAUUGGUGGGAAUACCAGGGGAAAAAAAUGAGGGGUUGGUGGGAAUGCCACAGAAAAAAAAAUGAGGGAUUAGUGGGAAUUCCAGGGGAAAAAAAAAAGAGGGAUUGGUGGGAAUUCCAGGAAAAAAAAAAUGGGGGUUUGGUGGGAAUUCCAGGAAAAAAAAAUGGGGGGUUGGUGGGAAUUCCAGAGAAAAAAAAUGAGGGGUUGGUGGGAAUUCCACCCCCCCCCCCCCCCCCCCCCCCCCCCCCCC